RNAcentral lists this unclassified non-coding RNA (557 nucleotides) under uncultured fungus. RNAcentral's name for it is "sequence contains ITS1, 5.8S rRNA gene, ITS2". The stretch from base 209 to 363 matches the Rfam family "5.8S ribosomal RNA". Lineage: Eukaryota; Fungi. The record is from RNAcentral.
GUGACUGCGGAGGAUCAUUAUUGAAUUACCGGUGAGGGUUGUAGCUGGCCUUUCGGGGCAUGUGCACGCCUGAGCCUUUAAUCCAACAUACACCUGUGAACCCAAUGUAAGGGCCCGUAAAAAGGGCCCCUACGUCUUUAUCACCAACUCUGUAUUCUUUGAAUGUAAUCUGUGUCUUCGCCUUAACAAGCGUCNNAUAAACUUAUACAACUUUCAACAACGGAUCUCUUGGCUCUCGCAUCGAUGAAGAACGCAGCGAAAUGCGAUAAGUAAUGUGAAUUGCANAUUUUCAGUGAAUCAUCNAAUCUUUGAACGCACCUUGCGCCCCUUGGUAUUCCGAGGGGCAUGCCUGUUUGAGUGUCAUUAAAUUCUCAACUCUGAUUUGAUUUGUUUCUCAUCAGAGCUUGGACUUGGAGUGUGCUGGCGUCUGGUCGGCUCCUCUCAAAUGGAUCAGCGGAAUCCAACCUUUGAUUUCCGGANGUCGGUGUGAUAAUAAAAGUUGCGCCGUCNUUCGACCUCAAAGUCCGCUUACAANUGUCUUCGGACNACUCUUAUCA